RNAcentral lists this ribosomal RNA (486 nucleotides) under uncultured bacterium. Its description in RNAcentral is "bacterial SSU rRNA". It matches the Rfam family "Bacterial small subunit ribosomal RNA", at positions 19 to 518 of the family's 1533-position model. The record is from RNAcentral.
CUGGCUCAGAACGAACGCUGGUGGCGUGUCUAUACAUGCAAGUCGAGCGAGGCAGCAAUGCCGAGCGGCGAACGGGUGAGUAACGCGUAAGCAAUCUGCCCCAUAUCAGGAAAUACCCGUGCCAACGCGCGGUUAAUGUCCAGGAGAGUGGCCCUCCGCAUGGAGGGUUGACUAGAGAUUCAUCGGUAUGGGAUGAGCUUGCGUCCGAUUAGCUAGUUGGCGGGGCAACGGCCCACCAAGGCGACGAUCGGUAGCCGGCCUGAGAGGGUGAUCGGCCACAUUGGGACUGAGAUACGGCCCAGACUCCUACGGGAGGCAGCAGUAGGGAAUAUUGCACAAUGGGGGAAACCCUGAUGCAGCAACGCCACGUGUGGGAAGAAGCAUUUCGGUGUGUAAACCACUGUCAUGAGGGAAUAAGGCCCGCCUUCGGACGGGAUUGAAUGUACCUUGAGAGGAAGCACCGGCAAACUUCGUGCCAGCAGCCGC